AUUGAACGCUGGCGGCAUGCCUUACACAUGCAAGUCGAACGGCAGCGGGGGAGAAGCUUGCUUUUCCUGCCGGCGAGUGGCGAACGGGUGAGUAAUACAUCGGAACGUGCCCUGUAGUGGGGGAUAACUAGUCGAAAGAUUAGCUAAUACCGCAUACGACCUGAGGGUGAAAGGGGGGGACCGGAAGGCCUCAUGAUAUAGGAGGUGCCGAUGUCUGAUUAGCUAGGUGGUGGGGCAAAGGCCUACCAAGGCGACGAUCAGUAGCUGGUCUGAGAGGACGAUCAGCCACACUGGGACUGAGACACGGCCCAGACUCCUACGGGAGGCAGCAGUGGGGAAUUUUGGACAAUGGGCGAAAGCCUGAUCCAGCAAUGCCGCGUGUGUGAAGAAGGCCUUCGGGUUGUAAAGCACUUUUGUCCGGAAAGAAAUGGCUCUGGUUAAUACCUGGGGUCGAUGACGGUACCGGAAGAAUAAGGACCGGCUAACUACGUGCCAGCCGCCGCGGUAA
RNAcentral lists this ribosomal RNA (508 nucleotides) under uncultured bacterium. RNAcentral's name for it is "partial 16S ribosomal RNA". It matches the Rfam family "Bacterial small subunit ribosomal RNA", at positions 29 to 523 of the family's 1533-position model. The record is from RNAcentral.